AUUGAACGCUGGCGGCAUGUUUUACACAUGCAAGUCGAACGGUAACAGGGUGCUUGCACCGCUGACGAGUGGCGAACGGGUGAGUAAUGCGUCGGAACGUGCCGAGUAGUGGGGGAUAACGCAGCGAAGGUUGUGCUAAUACCGCAUACGUACUGAGGUAGAAAGUGGGGGACCUUCGGGCCUCACGCUAUUCGAGCGGCCGACGUCUGAUUAGCUAGUAGGUGAGGUAAAGGCUCACCUAGGCGACGAUCAGUAGCGGGUCUGAGAGGAUGAUCCGCCACAAUGGGACUGAGACACGGCCCAGACUCCUACGGGAGGCAGCAGUGGGGAAUUUUGGACAAUGGGCGAAAGCCUGAUCCAGCCAUGCCGCGUGUCUGAAGAAGGCCUUCGGGUUGUAAAGGACUUUUGUCAGGGAGGAAAUCCCUAGUGCUAAUAACACUGGGGGAUGACAGUACCUGAAGAAUAAGCACCGGCUAACUACGUGCCAGCCGCCGCCGUAA
This 500-nucleotide ribosomal RNA is filed under the name uncultured bacterium. Its description in RNAcentral is "partial 16S ribosomal RNA". It matches the Rfam family "Bacterial small subunit ribosomal RNA", at positions 30 to 523 of the family's 1533-position model. The record is from RNAcentral.